Long non-coding RNA from Triticum aestivum (bread wheat), 622 nucleotides. RefSeq lists it as uncharacterized. Lineage: Eukaryota; Viridiplantae; Streptophyta; Magnoliopsida; Poales; Poaceae. The record is from RefSeq and is a predicted model, not a curated record. The transcript is spliced from 2 exons.
CACUCAAAGCAUCGAGACUCUCCACCAGAGCACCACUUCCUUUGUAGUCUAGCCACCACCAUCACUAGUAGAAUAGCCAAGAAGGCGAUUAGUUCGCCAAGAGUUUGAAGGCAUGAAGAAGUGCAUCGCUGGCAAGCGAAGAAGAAAAGAAGAGCCAGCCAAUUAUUCACCGAGAGACAAUGCCACGUGAAGAAAGCAAAGAUUCCUGAAGAUUGAAGCUUGUCGGCACUCUCUCGCACUUUUCUAUAUUAUUAGAAGGACACGCGUGUACCCUAGUAAGACACGUAUGCAUGCUACCGUGUGUAAAAUAAGUGAAGGAAGGCUCCCGAAGGCCACCUUGCAGCCACCCCUCACGGCUAUAAAAGGAGACGCUGGGCUCAACAACAAAGACACACAAGAGACGGGAGAGCACGGAGCACUCAAAGCAUCGAGACUCUCCACCAGAGCACCACUUCCUUUGUAGUCUAGCCACCACCAUCACUAGUAGAAUAGCCAAGAAGGCGAUUAGUUCGCCAAGAGUUUGAAGGUAAUUUCCUAGUUGUGUGUAAUCCCUUCGGGGCCUCCCGAAAGGGAAAACCAUAUGUAAAUUAUGUUGUUGAAAUGAUGUAGUUUCUUGGUUUCA